Molecule: ribosomal RNA, 550 nt
Filed under: uncultured bacterium
Lineage: Bacteria
Description: partial 16S ribosomal RNA
Rfam family: Bacterial small subunit ribosomal RNA
Source: RNAcentral
GGGGAAUAUUGCACAAUGGGCGAAAGCCUGAUGCAGCAACGCCGCGUGAGUGAUGAAGGUCUUCGGAUUGUAAAGCUCUGUCUUUUGGGACGAUAAUGACGGUACCAAAGGAGGAAGCCACGGCUAACUACGUGCCAGCAGCCGCGGUAAUACGUAGGUGGCGAGCGUUGUCCGGAUUUACUGGGCGUAAAGGGUGCGUAGGCGGAUGUUUAAGUGAGAUGUGAAAUACCCGGGCUUAACUUGGGUGCUGCAUUUCAAACUGGAUAUCUAGAGUGCAGGAGAGGAGAAUGGAAUUCCUAGUGUAGCGGUGAAAUGCGUAGAGAUUAGGAAGAACACCAGUGGCGAAGGCGAUUCUCUGGACUGUAACUGACGCUGAGGCACGAAAGCGUGGGUAGCAAACAGGAUUAGAUACCCUGGUAGUCCACGCCGUAAACGAUGAGUACUAGGUGUAGGAGGUAUCGACCCCUUCUGUGCCGCAGUAAACACAUUAAGUACUCCGCCUGGGAAGUACGAUCGCAAGAUUAAAACUCUAAAGUGAAUUGACGGGGUC